CGUCGCCGCGGUAAUACGGAGGGUGCAAGCGUUAAUCGGAAUUACUGGGCGUAAAGCGCACGCAGGCGGUCUGACAAGUCAGAUGUGAAAUCCCCGGGCUUAACCUGGGAACUGCAUUUGAAACUGUCAGGCUGGAGUCUUGUAGAGGGGGGUGGAAUUCCAGGUGUAGCGGUGAAAUGCGUAGAGAUCUGGAGGAAUACCGGUGGCGAAGGCGGCCCCCUGGACAAAGACUGACGCUCAGGUGCGAAAGCGUGGGGAGCAAACAGGAUUAGAUACCCCGGUAGUCCCUGUCUCUUAUACA
Molecule: ribosomal RNA, 301 nt
Filed under: uncultured bacterium
Lineage: Bacteria
Description: partial 16S ribosomal RNA
Rfam family: Bacterial small subunit ribosomal RNA
Source: RNAcentral